Molecule: ribosomal RNA, 496 nt
Filed under: uncultured bacterium
Lineage: Bacteria
Description: partial 16S ribosomal RNA
Rfam family: Bacterial small subunit ribosomal RNA
Source: RNAcentral
GAUGAACGCUGGCGGCGUGCCUAAUACAUGCAAGUCGAGCGAACGGACGAGAAGCUUGCUUCUCUGAUGUUAGCGGCGGACGGGUGAGUAACACGUGGAUAACCUACCUAUAAGACUGGGAUAACUUCGGGAAACCGUAGCUAAUACCGGAUAAUAUUUUGAACCGCAUGGUUCAAAAGUGAAAGACGGUCUUGCUGUCACUUAUAGAUGGAUCCGCGCUGCAUUAGCUAGUUGGUAAGGUAACGGCUUACCAAGGCAACGAUGCAUAGCCGACCUGAGAGGGUGAUCGGCCACACUGGAACUGAGACACGGUCCAGACUCCUACGGGAGGCAGCAGUAGGGAAUCUUCCGCAAUGGGCGAAAGCCUGACGGAGCAACGCCGCGUGAGUGAUGAAGGUCUUCGGAUCGUAAAACUCUGUUAUUAGGGAAGAACAUAUGUGUAAGUAACUGUGCACAUCUUGACGGUACCUAAGCAGAAAACCACGGCUAACUACGU